This 1816-nucleotide long non-coding RNA is filed under the name Mus musculus (house mouse). Its description in RNAcentral is "long non-coding RNA chr9:35218538-35220354". The record is from RNAcentral. Lineage: Eukaryota; Metazoa; Chordata; Mammalia; Rodentia; Muridae.
AGAAGAAGGUGUCAGAAUUCCUGGAACUGGAGUUAUAGACAGUUGUGAACCACCAUAUGGAUGUUGGGAUUUGAACACAGGUCCUCCAGAACAUUCAGUGCUUUUACCAAAUUAGCUGUCUCUCUAGCCCCUAAAACAUUUUACAUACAAACCAUGGCUGCUUACUCUAUUCCCAACAGGUUCACACAGCUAAUCUGAACUAAAAAUUACAUCUCCAUUUCACUAGUUAUAUUUCAUGUAGUCAAUAUGUAUGUACUUAAUAAAUGCAAAGCAGGGCAUGGUGCUGCAUGUCUAUAAACUUAGGUCUUAGAGGAGUAAGGAUUAUGAAAGAUCAUGAGUUCAAGUCCAGUCUGUAUUACAGAGCUAUUUUCAGGAAAAUAGAGAGUACAGAGUAAAACCCUGUGUUUUUGUUUUCUAAAAAGGUACACAAGACUAAUAAGCUUUGUUCAUAACUGAAAAAAAAAGUACUGGUUAAAUCAGAGGUUUAUUAAUGGUUAAAUCAGUAAUUACUUCCUGGUAUAAUAAUACCAUAUGGAAAACCUUUGAUUUAAAAAUAGAAUGGCUUGACUGGCAACUGUGGACAGCCACUCUAGAGAGCCUGUUAGCUAUAGCUAUCUGUACCAUUCCACAACCUUCAGGAUGUUAACCUAAAGUUGAGUGCAGCAGAAGAUACUGUUGUCCAGAUUUUGUUUUAUUAUAGCAUCUUUCUGGUAGAGGAUCUCAGUGUGGAUCGAUUCUGUAGCCCUUGAGUGUGUGUCCCUAGUUUAAAAAACAAUCAGGCCAGGCGUGGUGGCGCACACCUUUAAUCCCAGCACUCUCAACAAACUCAAAAAACGUCCAGAAUUCUCAACAAACCUGCUUUAGCCUCCAAAAUGCUGGGAUUACAGGGGAUGAGCCACCACAGUGAUAACGACGGCGCACGCCUUUAAUCCCGGCACUCGGGAGGCAGAGGCAGGCAGAUAUCUGAGUUCGAGGCCAGCCUGGUCUAUAAAGUGAGCUCCAGGACAGCCAGGGCUACAGAGAAACCCUGUCUUGAAAAACAAAACCAACAAACAAACAAAAAAAAAUCUUAUUCCAGCCGGGCGUGGUGGCGCACACCUUUAAUCCCAGCACUCGGGAGGCAGAGGCAGGCAGAUUUCUGAGUUCGAGGCCAGCCUGGUCUACAAAGUGAGUUCCAGGACAGCCAGGGCUACACAGAGAAACCCUGUUCGAAAGCCAAAAAAAAAAAAAAAAAAAAAAUCUCAUUCCAUCGAAGCAUUGCUCUGACAGAACUUGAAAGAAAUUUUUACUACGUUAGGAUUUUCCUUGGAGUCAUCUGAUUCAGAAAAGAAAUCUGGGACUAGAUUUAAGGAUAUUACAUACUAGAUUACCUGUAUUUUAUUGUGUUGUCUAAGAAACAUUCAAAUUGAUAAAAUAUUAAAUGUUUGAAGGAGGGCUAGAGAGAUGGCUCAGUAGUUGUUCUUCAGAGGACCUGUGUUUAAUUCCUAGUCCACAUAGAAGCUCACACCUGCCUGAGGAGUCCAGUUCCAGGACUUUUGAUACCUUCACACACGCAUUACACCAAUGACUAUAAAAUAAUAAAUUAUAUAUAAAAAAGCUUGAAGCAGGUGAGGCAUAGUGGGAAUAUGUUUGUAGUUGCUAGAAUUGUACAGUUGAGACAGGAGGAUUCAAAGUGUGAGGCCAACUUGGACUACAUAGUAACUCAAAGCCUGCACUCAGGAGGCAGAGGCAGGUAGAUCUCUGAGGACAGCCUGGUCUACACAAGUUCUAGGCCAACAAAGCUACCUAGUGAAUCUCUAUAUCAAACAAAACAAGC